GCACAAGCGGUGGAUGAUGUGGUUUAAUUCGAUGCAACGCGAAAAACCUUACCCACCUUUGACAUGUACGGAACCCUUUAGAGAUAGAGGGGUGCUCGAAAGAGAGCCGUAACACAGGUGCUGCAUGGCUGUCGUCAGCUCGUGUCGUGAGAUGUUGGGUUAAGUCCCGCAACGAGCGCAACCCUUGUCAUUAGUUGCUACAUUCAGUUGGGCACUCUAAUGAGACUGCCGGUGACAAGCCGGAGGAAGGUGGGGAUGACGUCAAGUCCUCAUGGCCCUUAUAGGUGGGGCUACACACGUCAUACAAUGGCUGGUACAAAGGGUUGCCAACCCGCGAGGGGGAGCUAAUCCCAUAAAGCCAGUCGUAGUCCGGAUCGUAGUCUGCAACUCGACUACGUGAAGUCGGAAUCGCUAGUAAUCGUGGAUCAGAAUGUCUCGGUGAAUACGUUCCCGGGUCUUGUACACACCGCCCGUCACACCAUGGGAGCGGGUUCUGCCAGAAGUAGUUAGCCUAACCGCAAGGAGGGCGAUUACCACGGCAGGGUUCGUGACUGGGGUGAAGUCGUAACAAGGUAACC
Molecule: ribosomal RNA, 578 nt
Filed under: uncultured bacterium
Lineage: Bacteria
Description: bacterial SSU rRNA
Rfam family: Bacterial small subunit ribosomal RNA
Source: RNAcentral